AGAGCUCAGUGGUCGGAGCUCGUGCUUUGCAUGCAGAAGGUUGUAGGUUCAAUCCCUGGCAUCUCUA
Non-coding RNA from Podarcis lilfordi (Lilford's wall lizard), 67 nucleotides. NCBI's taxonomy places the organism in Eukaryota, Metazoa, Chordata, Lepidosauria, Squamata, Lacertidae. The record is from the annotation of a GenBank genome assembly.